GAAGCCUUCCGACUUCUCAGUCGCUGGAUCAUUGUCAGCCGUCAGCUCGCCCUCCACACAGCCAUCUUACCUGUCCGUCCUCCCACGGUCCUUGGUUCUCCUCGCCGCCUCCAGAUUCCCGUCUGCUCCAAUAAGUCACUCACCCAGCUCUAAAUGGCUACUCUGGUGGUACCGAUCCUGAUUUCUGCUCCACACUCACUCCCUUUCCCCAUCCCCUUUACAAUAAACCAUAUUAUUGUUUUGAAAUACGC
Molecule: long non-coding RNA, 251 nt
Organism: Poecilia latipinna (sailfin molly)
Lineage: Eukaryota; Metazoa; Chordata; Actinopteri; Cyprinodontiformes; Poeciliidae
Exons: 2
Source: RefSeq, a predicted model, not a curated record